Molecule: transfer RNA, 66 nt
Filed under: Cardiochiles fuscipennis
Lineage: Eukaryota; Metazoa; Arthropoda; Insecta; Hymenoptera; Braconidae
Description: tRNA-Leu
Source: RNAcentral
GUUACUUUAACAAAAUAAAAUGUAAUAAAUUUAGAAUUUAUAAAUGUAAAAUAAUUACAAGUAAUA